UUAGAUUACAGGUUAGGAGGAAAUUCUUCACUCAGGGUGGUGAGGCACUGGAAUAGGUUGCCCAGAGAUGCUGUGAAUGCCCCAUCCCUGGAGGUGUUCAAGACCAUGUUGGACAAGGCCCUCAGCAACCUGAUCUGUUGGGUGGCAUUCCUACUCAUGGCAGAGGGGUCAGAACUGGAUGAUCUUUGAGGUCCCUUCCAACUCAGGAUAUUCUAUGAUUCUAUGA
Molecule: long non-coding RNA, 226 nt
Organism: Oxyura jamaicensis (ruddy duck)
Lineage: Eukaryota; Metazoa; Chordata; Aves; Anseriformes; Anatidae
Exons: 3
Source: RefSeq, a predicted model, not a curated record